AGAGUUUGAUCAUGGCUCAGGAUGAACGCUAGCUACAGGCUUAACACAUGCAAGUCGAGGGGAAACGACAUCGAAAGCUUGCUUUUGAUGGGCGUCGACCGGCGCACGGGUGAGUAACGCGUAUCCAACCUGCCCAUCACUUGGGGAUAACCUUGCGAAAGUAAGACUAAUACCCAAUGAUAUCUCUAGAAGACAUCUGAAAGAGAUUAAAGAUUUAUCGGUGAUGGAUGGGGAUGCGUCUGAUUAGCUUGUUGGCGGGGUAACGGCCCACCAAGGCUACGAUCAGUAGGGGUUCUGAGAGGAAGGUCCCCCANAUUGGAACUGAGACAACGGUCCAAACUCCUACGGGAGGCA
Molecule: ribosomal RNA, 354 nt
Filed under: uncultured bacterium
Lineage: Bacteria
Description: bacterial SSU rRNA
Rfam family: Bacterial small subunit ribosomal RNA
Source: RNAcentral